CUAACGAGCGCAACCCUCGUCGUACUGUUAUAUGUGUCAUACGAGACGUGCCGGUAAAAGCCGGAGGAAGGUGAGGAUGAUGUCAAGUCAGGCAUGACCUUUAUAUCCAGGGCUACACCACACGCUACAAUGGUACUGUACAAUGGGUAGCCAAGCCGCGAGGCGGAGCCAAUCCUGAAAGCAGGCCUCAAGUUCAGAUUGCAGUCUGCAACUCGACUGCAUGAAGCCGGAGUUGCUAGUAACCGCAGGUCAGCAAUACUGCGGUGAAUACGUUCCCGGGUCUU
RNAcentral lists this ribosomal RNA (284 nucleotides) under uncultured Anaerolineaceae bacterium. RNAcentral describes it as "partial 16S ribosomal RNA". It matches the Rfam family "Bacterial small subunit ribosomal RNA", at positions 1089 to 1382 of the family's 1533-position model. The record is from RNAcentral. Lineage: Bacteria; Bacillati; Chloroflexota; Anaerolineae; Anaerolineales; Anaerolineaceae.